UCAUCUUGAAUGCAUUUUCUCUCUCUUAUUUUUUCUAGGGUUUCAGUUCUUUCCCGUCGAUAUCAUUUCCAUGGGAAAUCUUUCUCACACUUGGAAUCAGAAGCAGGACUCUGAUCCAUAACUGAACGGCAAAUAAGUCGCUGUUGAAUAUGUGGAGAAACAGAUGAGACUUGCCGGCUUUGUUUUGAUGCUCGUGCUUGGAAGACACUGAAUGAUCAGAUUGUUCUCUUGUCAAAGAGACGUGGUCAGUUAAAGCAGGUGCAAAGAAAAAUGAAGGGAUCAUUCUAGUUGCUGAUAGUAUGGCUGUAACCGCAAUGGUCCAGCUAGCAAUGCAAUAUAUUGAAACUAAGAUUGAGCUAAUUAAGACCCUUAAUAGCGUAUCUGCUGGAAAGAUAUAUGUUGAAAUAGAGAGAGCACAUUUGAUUAAGAGGCUUGCAAAGAUUAAGGAAGAACAAGGACAAGAGACAUAUGCAAGAAUGCAUGGAAGGUAAUCCAAGUGCUAAAACAAUGAAAAACAUGUCAAGGGAUUUUGCUGUUCUUACUAUUCAUUUCACAAUGAGUUCCCCUAAGGUGGUAUCCUCUUGAAUCUCACAGGAAUAAAGUGCCACGUGGGUCACUUCUAGAGUUCUAAUCGGGGGAGUCUGAGACUACGAAUGAGAUCGCGACGAGAAUGUCGAAUGACUAAGUUGGAGAGAUUGUGAUGUCCCACAUUGGGAAAUCACACUAAAUAUGAACUUCUUAUAAUAGUGAAAUCAAUAU
Impatiens glandulifera is the source of this 759-nucleotide long non-coding RNA. RefSeq lists it as uncharacterized. Lineage: Eukaryota; Viridiplantae; Streptophyta; Magnoliopsida; Ericales; Balsaminaceae. The transcript has 7 exons. The record is from RefSeq and is a predicted model, not a curated record.